UGUCAGUUUCAGGGAAGGUGUAAUUCCUUACUGGCGGUGAUCUGCACUCCGGGUUUCAUAACGGAGAUGUCAGGAAGCCCGCGACCCGCGUAAGCGGCUGAUCCGGUGAGAUUCCGGAGCCAACGGUUAUAGUCCGGAUGGAAGAAACGAGGG
Molecule: non-coding RNA, 153 nt
Filed under: Bifidobacterium breve
Lineage: Bacteria; Bacillati; Actinomycetota; Actinomycetes; Bifidobacteriales; Bifidobacteriaceae
Also listed under: 1 other name
Description: FMN sequence
Rfam family: FMN riboswitch aptamer (RFN element)
About the family: The RFN element is a highly conserved domain that is found frequently in the 5'-untranslated regions of prokaryotic mRNAs that encode for flavin mononucleotide (FMN) biosynthesis and transport proteins. This element is a metabolite-dependent riboswitch that directly binds FMN in the absence of proteins.
Source: RNAcentral